This 412-nucleotide ribosomal RNA is filed under the name Chiasmocleis hudsoni (Hudson's humming frog). RNAcentral's name for it is "partial large subunit ribosomal RNA". It matches the Rfam family "Bacterial large subunit ribosomal RNA", at positions 1834 to 2457 of the family's 2925-position model. The record is from RNAcentral. Lineage: Eukaryota; Metazoa; Chordata; Amphibia; Anura; Microhylidae.
UCUGAAAAAAUAUAGAAGGUCCAGCCUGCCCAGUGACAAAGUUAAACGGCCGCGGUACCCUAACCGUGCGAAGGUAGCGCAAUCACUUGUUCUUUAAAUGAGGACUAGUAUGAACGGCAUCACGAGGAUUAUACUGUCUCCCCCCUUUAAUCAGUGAAACUGAUCCCCCCGUGAAGAAGCGGGAAUAAACCUAUAAGACGAGAAGACCCUAUGGAGCUUUAAACUAACACCACCUGUCUAUAAACACUUCAUAAUAAACAGACAAACCUACGUGCUAGUUUUUGGUUGGGGUGACCGCGGAGCAAAAUAAAACCUCCACGAUGAAAAGACUUUCCCUCUUAAUCCAAGAGCAACAUCUCAAAGAAUUGGUAAACCAACACAACUGAUCCAAAUAAUACUUUGAUCAACGAAC